GACGAACGCUGGCGGCGUGCUUAACACAUGCAAGUCGAACGGUGAAAGCGGAGCUUGCUCCGCUGGAUCAGUGGCGAACGGGUGAGUAACACGUGGGUAACCUGCCCCUCACUUCGGGAUAACUCCGGGAAACCGGGGCUAAUACCGGAUAUGACCUCCUUGGGCAUCCUUGGAGGUGGAAAGUUUUUCGGUGAGGGAUGGGCCCGCGGCCUAUCAGCUUGUUGGUGAGGUAGUGGCUCACCAAGGCGACGACGGGUAGCCGGCCUGAGAGGGCGACCGGCCACACUGGGACUGAGACACGGCCCAGACUCCGACGGGAGGCAGCAGUGGGGAAUAUUGCGCAAUGGGCGAAAGCCUGACGCAGCAACGCCGCGUGCGGGAUGACGGCCUUCGGGUUGUAAACCGCUUUCAGCAGGGAAGAAGCCGCAAGGUGACGGUACCUGCAGAAGAAGCACCGGCUAACUACGUGCCAGCCGCCGCCGUAA
Molecule: ribosomal RNA, 485 nt
Filed under: uncultured bacterium
Lineage: Bacteria
Description: partial 16S ribosomal RNA
Rfam family: Bacterial small subunit ribosomal RNA
Source: RNAcentral